UACGUAGGGUGCAAGCGUUAAUCGGAAUUACUAGGCGUAAAGCGUGCGCAGGCGGCUUUGCAAGACAGAUGUGAAAUCCCCGGGCUCAACCUGGGAACUGCAUUUGUGACUGUAUAGCUAGAGUACGGUAGAGGGGGAUGGAAUUCCGCGUGUAGCAGUGAAAUGCGUAGAUAUGCGGAGGAACACCGAUGGCGAAGGCAAUCCCCUGGACCUGUACUGACGCUCAUGCACGAAAGCGUGGGGAGCAAACAGG
Molecule: ribosomal RNA, 253 nt
Filed under: uncultured bacterium
Lineage: Bacteria
Description: partial 16S ribosomal RNA
Rfam family: Bacterial small subunit ribosomal RNA
Source: RNAcentral